GCAGAGGUGGCUCAGAGGUUAAGAGCACUGGUGGCCUUUCCCAAGGACCUGGGUUUGAUUCCCAGCAUCCGCA
RNAcentral lists this transfer RNA (73 nucleotides) under Cricetulus griseus (Chinese hamster). It matches the Rfam family "tRNA". Rfam says of the family: Transfer RNA (tRNA) molecules are approximately 80 nucleotides in length. Their secondary structure includes four short double-helical elements and three loops (D, anti-codon, and T loops). Lineage: Eukaryota; Metazoa; Chordata; Mammalia; Rodentia; Cricetidae. The record is from Rfam by way of RNAcentral.